RNAcentral lists this unclassified non-coding RNA (336 nucleotides) under uncultured fungus. RNAcentral describes it as "partial contains 5.8S ribosomal RNA, internal transcribed spacer 2, and large subunit ribosomal RNA". The record is from RNAcentral. Lineage: Eukaryota; Fungi.
AACGCACAUUGCGCUUCCUGGUAUUCCGGGGAGCAUGCCCGUUUCAGAAUCAUUAAGUGUCUCACACUGACCUCUGGCGUCGCAAGGCGCCGGGGCGGCAGGGUGGAAGCUGGAUGUCUUUUGCGCCGCUCGGCGCAAAUCAUCUGAAAAUGAUGGUGCGUGCUGCCGAAUUGUGUCGGUUUGCCCUCAAAGUGCAACAGAAUCACAUCUAUUCACGAUGGGGACGAGCCGGAAGCAAGUCGGCGUGGCGCGCACUCACCAACGUCACAGCUGGCACAAGCAAGUGCCUUCUGAAAACUUGGUCUGAAAUCGGGCAAGAAAACCCGCUGAACUUAA